RNAcentral lists this long non-coding RNA (1340 nucleotides) under Homo sapiens (human). Its description in RNAcentral is "HSALNT0038200". The record is from RNAcentral. Lineage: Eukaryota; Metazoa; Chordata; Mammalia; Primates; Hominidae.
UUCUUCACAGCCUGUCUGAUCUGGUGCUUGUUGGCUUUAACAUCCACAGUGAACACAAGCGUGUUGUUUUCUUCUAUCUUCUUCACGGCCGACUCAGUGGUCAGCGGAAACUUGAUGAUAGCAUAGUGGCCAAGCUUGUUUCUCCUGGGGGUGCUCUUCUGAGGCUAUCUGGGCUGCCUCCGGAGUCACAGUGUCUUGGGCCGCCUGAAGGUAUUAUUUCCCCCUGAUGCUUUCCUGAAAGCUCCUGCAAUCAACUACAGGUCAGAAUGUUCGUCUCCAAGACAGGACUCCCUCUGAGACUCACAGAAAAGACUAUGACAGGUACUCUGGUUAUAGGCUUCUGAUGAUAUUGCUUAAAUAACUUUAAGACCAUACACUUGACUCAGUUAAGGUCUCCAGAAGUCCGGUUGGGAACCUGAUGGGUUCAUGACACUGCUAACUCAAGAUCCACAAGACUGGAAUUGAUUACAUGGCACUGAAUGAACUGAUGAAAAUUGAUUAUAAUUGUAUAGCUUUUUGGAGCAUUGCUGGUUAAUAUUCUAGUUUCUGGAUUUAAGAAAUCUCUUUCUCUUACUCUAACUGUAACUUACAACAAUUUAGUAGAUUAUACUUUUGUAAACAGAAAUGAAGCGUUUAUCUUUUUUUCUUGCCUGAUUUUUCCAGAAUUUUGAAAUCCUUACUGAAUACUCUUAUUUCCACGAUGAUAUAGUUGUUAGCAAAAGUCCAAUAAGAAUCUAUUCACCUUAUAACAGGACAUAAUUGGAAAUUUUGGUUAUAUUAUCAAGGUUUUUACUGGAAUAUCAUAUUUAGGAAGUGUACCUAAGAUCAGUUAUGACCAGCAAUUUUAAGGAAGUAAGGUUGACUUUUAUGGAGACAAUGCUUACAAAGCACUGUGGAAAACUUUGAGGAAAGUUCUUCCUCAAAGAUUAUAAAGUCACAACUACCCACUAUUUUUAUAUGUAUGUGUGUGUGUGUGUGUGUGUGUGUGUGUGUGUGUGUUCCAAAUCACUUGUCCUAGCUUGCUCCAGCAUGCCUGGACAGAACUAGACAAGCCCCAGCCCAUAGUGCAUGCCAUUCCUUAUUUGGAGAUGCUUCCUUAACUAUCCCUGGGCAACUUCCUUUUCUUUCUUUCUUCUAUUCCCCUUACCUAAUUAAGAAAGUUUUAAACUAACAGCCAAUCGGGUAAAGUGUAAAAUGGGAGGUCCUAUUCCAGCCAAUGGAAACUGGACACAGCAGUAGGGUAAACACGUCAGGUUAUAAGUAACUCUGUCUCCUUUGUUUGGUGUGCUCUUGUAGCUGGACAGCUAUUGAGUAGCACCCUUUGUGCAGAAAAAUAAAGC